AAUAAAUCAUUCUUUUACUUUUUACCUACAAUAUUUGAUUCUUCGUCUUAUUUAAAAUUUUUUAUGAUUAAUAUUUUUGUUUUUAUUAAAUGAUAAAUCAUGAAUAAUAAUUUACGUAUGACUAAUCUAUUUUAAUUCCGUAAAAGUUUUUAAAUAAGAUACUUAGUUAAACGUUGGACACGGAAACGGAAAGUU
This 195-nucleotide microRNA precursor is filed under the name Oryza brachyantha (malo sina). Its description in RNAcentral is "MIR812 microRNA precursor family". It matches the Rfam family "MIR812 microRNA precursor family". Lineage: Eukaryota; Viridiplantae; Streptophyta; Magnoliopsida; Poales; Poaceae. The record is from Rfam by way of RNAcentral.